AAAAAGGCUCUUUUAAGAGCCACUCCAUAAACAAGAAAAAGGGCUGU
Molecule: regulatory RNA element, 47 nt
Organism: Patagioenas fasciata monilis
Lineage: Eukaryota; Metazoa; Chordata; Aves; Columbiformes; Columbidae
Rfam family: Histone 3' UTR stem-loop
About the family: The mRNAs of metazoan histone genes lack a poly-A tail. 3' end processing occurs at a site between a highly conserved stem-loop (modelled by this family) and a purine rich region around 20 nts downstream (the histone downstream element, or HDE).
Source: Rfam